ACUCCAACUACAACCACAGCUGCUCCAACAACAACCACAGCGGCUCCAACCACAACCACAACGGCUCCAACCACAACCACAGCUUCUCCAACCACAACACCUGCACCAACCACGACAACAUCUGCUCCAACAACAACUGCAUCUAUAACAAUUUCUACAACAGCAGCAACUACCGUUAGCACAACUGAGAUGAGAGUUGUCCGCCGGAUGAACUUUAGGUCUCCUAUUGAUACCUUUACCAACAAUCUUGAAAUCAGUUCUUCAGAUUCUUUCAGCCAACGAUCCCAACUUUUGUGGAAUCGUCUUCAUCCCCUCUACAAACAAGCAUUUUCGUCAUUCUUGAGAAUGAUUAUUAUCUCAUUCAGAAGAGGAUCAGUUAUCAACACGCUAGACCUCGAAUUUCAAGUAACAGAUGUUCCUAGUAAUCAAGCAAUCGAAAAUGUUUUAAUCAAUGAGGCACCAAACAUAACUGAAUUCUCGGUGGAAGCGUCAUCGGUUAUUGUUGGAGACAUAGUUGCUUUAACAACAACAACAGCUGCACCAACAACAACCACAACUGCUC
Long non-coding RNA from Xiphophorus hellerii (green swordtail), 562 nucleotides. RefSeq lists it as uncharacterized. Lineage: Eukaryota; Metazoa; Chordata; Actinopteri; Cyprinodontiformes; Poeciliidae. The record is from RefSeq and is a predicted model, not a curated record. The transcript is spliced from 4 exons.